GCCCGGGUGGUGAAAUUGGUAGACAUACCAGCUUGAGGGGCUGGCGCCCGCAAGGGUGUGCAAGUUCGAAUCUUGUCCCGGGCA
Molecule: transfer RNA, 84 nt
Filed under: Bacteroidota bacterium
Lineage: Bacteria; Pseudomonadati; Bacteroidota
Also listed under: 2 other names
Description: Bacteroidetes bacterium (activated sludge metagenome) tRNA-Leu
Rfam family: tRNA
About the family: Transfer RNA (tRNA) molecules are approximately 80 nucleotides in length. Their secondary structure includes four short double-helical elements and three loops (D, anti-codon, and T loops).
Source: RNAcentral